GUUAUUUUAUUGAUCCGAUGGUUCAACCCAAUUCAACCCAACCCAUCUAUUGCAAUGGUUCGGAUAAGGUUCGGGUCCUAUUCUAAUCCAACGGACCCGUACGAUCCUUACCCGACCCGAACAGCUCCGGUUGACAAAGAAGCGGGUCGCAGUAAUCCCAUAGAUCGAUCGUCUGAUAUUGAUCGAACGGUGCGUAUUAAUGUUAUAAAAAGAGCACAAAAAUAAUCGACAGUCGUCCCCUGCAACGGCCGCUAGGGUUCUGUCCCGCUUGCUAUAAAGCCGGCGACGACCUCUAUCCGACGGCGGAUUACCGCGCCUAUCGCUGCCGGACCCAUCCUCGAAGUGGUGGUGUGUUGGAUCCCUGGAGGAACACCGGAUGAAAAUCCUGUCGGGGGGAUCACUUGCCUCCGUCAUCGGCAAUACUAUUGUGCUCAUCUUCGCCACAUUCGCACUAGAGGCAAAAGGACAUUCUCAUAUGUGUGAAUGCAACUAUCACGGUUGAACAGAUUCUUCACACCCAGUCAUAUCCAGGUUUGCAGUUCAGGCUUUAGUGCAGAAUGAGUGCUUCUGAAGCUCCACUGUAGAAUGCUAGAGCAGCAAAGAACCUCAAAAAGUGUCUCAGGUCCACAAAAGGAAUGUUCUUGAAUGGGAUGAUCACUUCAAUUAUUAGAAAAUAAGCAAUUCAAUGCCAAGCUCUGAUUUCUUCUUGUAAACUUGACAUGUAGAACCUUAGAGAGAAGGACAUUUAUAUAAACUCAACCUUUUAUGAUAUCA
This is a long non-coding RNA of Musa acuminata AAA Group (dessert banana), 774 nucleotides long. RefSeq lists it as uncharacterized. The transcript is spliced from 2 exons. The record is from RefSeq and is a predicted model, not a curated record. Lineage: Eukaryota; Viridiplantae; Streptophyta; Magnoliopsida; Zingiberales; Musaceae.